GAUGAACGCUGGCGGCGUGCCUAAUACAUGCAAGUCGAGCGAACGGACGAGAAGCUUGCUUCUCUGAUGUUAGCGGCGGACGGGUGAGUAACACGUGGAUAACCUUCCUAUAAGACUGGGAUAACUUCGGGAAACCGGAGCUAAUACCGGAUGAUAUUUUGAACCGCAUGGUUCAAAAGUGAAAGACGGUCUUGCUGUCACUUAUAGAUGUAUCCGCGCUGCAUUAGCUAGUUGGUAAGGUAACGGCUUACCAAGGCAACGAUGCAUAGCCGACCUGAGAGGGUGAUCGGCCACACUGGAACUGAGACACGGUCCAGACUCCUACGGGAGGCAGCAGUAGGGAAUCUUCCGCAAUGGGCGAAAGCCUGACGGAGCAACGCCGCGUGAGUGAUGAAGGUCUUCGGAUCGUAAAACUCUGUUAUUAGGGAAGAACAUAUGUGUAAGUAACUGUGCACAUCUUGACGGUACCUAAUCAGAAAGCCACGGCUAACUACGUG
RNAcentral lists this ribosomal RNA (497 nucleotides) under uncultured bacterium. RNAcentral's name for it is "partial 16S ribosomal RNA". It matches the Rfam family "Bacterial small subunit ribosomal RNA", at positions 28 to 507 of the family's 1533-position model. The record is from RNAcentral.